AACGAACGCUGGCGGCAUGCCUAACACAUGCAAGUCGAACGAGACCUUCGGGGCUAGUGGCGCACGGGUGCGUAACGCGUGGGAACCUGCCCUUAGGUUCGGAAUAACUCCCCGAAAGGGGUGCUAAUACCGGAUAAUGUCUUCGGACCAAAGAUUUAUCGCCUUUGGAUGGGCCCGCGUUGGAUUAGCUAGUUGGUAGGGUAAAAGCCUACCAAGGCGACGAUCCAUAGCUGGUCUGAGAGGAUGAUCAGCCACACUGGGACUGAGACACGGCCCAGACUCCUACGGGAAGCAGCAGUGGGGAAUAUUGGACAAUGGGCGAAAGCCUGAUCCAGCAAUGCCGCGUGAGUGAUGAAGGCCUUAGGGUUGUAAAGCUCUUUUGCCCGGGAUGAUAAUGACAGUACCGGGAGAAUAAGCUCCGGCUAACUCCGUG
Molecule: ribosomal RNA, 433 nt
Filed under: uncultured bacterium
Lineage: Bacteria
Description: partial 16S ribosomal RNA
Rfam family: Bacterial small subunit ribosomal RNA
Source: RNAcentral